CUUUUCUUAAGGACUCUAGUCAUUGGAUCAGGGCCCACCCUAAUCUAGUAUGACCUCAUUUCAACUAAUUGCAUCUAUAAAAACCCCAUUUCCAAAUAAGUACAUUCGCAGGUUCCAGG
Molecule: long non-coding RNA, 119 nt
Organism: Herpailurus yagouaroundi (jaguarundi)
Lineage: Eukaryota; Metazoa; Chordata; Mammalia; Carnivora; Felidae
Exons: 3
Source: RefSeq, a predicted model, not a curated record